Molecule: transfer RNA, 74 nt
Filed under: Actinoplanes sp. NBRC 103695
Lineage: Bacteria; Bacillati; Actinomycetota; Actinomycetes; Micromonosporales; Micromonosporaceae
Description: tRNA-Lys
Rfam family: tRNA
About the family: Transfer RNA (tRNA) molecules are approximately 80 nucleotides in length. Their secondary structure includes four short double-helical elements and three loops (D, anti-codon, and T loops).
Source: RNAcentral
GCGCCGUUAGCUCAGUUGGUAGAGCAGCCGCCUCUUAAGCGGCUUGUCACAGGUUCAAGUCCUGUACGGCGCAC